UUAUUUAUGGUUCUAAUGUGAUUAAAAGGAAAGAUGAGUUCGAAUCUCACACGGUCCCGCCACUGUAAGGAUGACAAAAUCAGGAAAACCACUGUAUAAGCUUAUAUGGGAAGGUCUGAGAGUAGGUUGAAUCUAAGUCAGGAGACCUGCCAUAAAUUUAUA
Molecule: non-coding RNA, 162 nt
Filed under: uncultured Cetobacterium sp.
Lineage: Bacteria; Fusobacteriati; Fusobacteriota; Fusobacteriia; Fusobacteriales; Fusobacteriaceae
Source: RNAcentral